Molecule: non-coding RNA, 205 nt
Organism: Biomphalaria pfeifferi
Lineage: Eukaryota; Metazoa; Mollusca; Gastropoda; Planorbidae
Source: the annotation of a GenBank genome assembly
UAGGCUAAGAAUGGUAACGAACAUAGGUCUCAGUGGGCUACCACAAGUAUGGUCGAGAGAUUGUACACUGCACGUGGUAGAAAUGUAACAAAGGCUCGCUAACCCGUCCAACCCCCCCCCCCCAUUGAUUCGUUCCCUAACGGGGGCCAUACGCGCUGUGAUGGACCCUCGCACGGGUUCGGUGGGACAUUAUAGGCAUAAGAAG